ACUUCCCCCACCUCACUGCCCGGGUGCCCACAAGACUGUGGACAGUGAGGUAGAGGGAGUGC
RNAcentral lists this microRNA precursor (62 nucleotides) under Homo sapiens (human). RNAcentral describes it as "Hsa-Mir-3138_pre stem-loop". Lineage: Eukaryota; Metazoa; Chordata; Mammalia; Primates; Hominidae. The record is from RNAcentral.